CCAACUCCUCGCCUCCCCACCUCCCUGCCUCUUGGCGUCAGCGAAGGCUCUGCUGCCUGCAGGGCAGAGAGGAGAGGGAGGAGGCCAGCGAGAGGGAGCCUCUGUCGGGGCGUGGGAGGAAAGCAAGAUAACGCAGGCGACCCGAGAAGGACGGUGAAUCUGACUGGCCAGACUGGGAAGUCUUGUCUGUCACCGAGGCUGGAGUGCAGUGUGGCAGGAUCAUAGCUUACUCCAUCCUUGAACUCCUGGGAUCAAGGAAUCCUCUAGCCUCAGCUUCCUGAGUAGGUGGGACUACAGAUGCAUACCACCAUGCCCCGUGAAGGAAGUGAGUUGUUCUUUCCUCUUUUAUAGGAAUGGGAUGGGAAAGAGGAAGGGCUAUGAGUACGCUUCGCAUGUUUGUUAUUGUGUUGUUCCGUUCUUCACACACAUGUCCAUCAGGCUCCC
This 444-nucleotide long non-coding RNA is filed under the name Homo sapiens (human). RNAcentral's name for it is "non-protein coding lnc-PCMTD2-2:3". Lineage: Eukaryota; Metazoa; Chordata; Mammalia; Primates; Hominidae. The record is from RNAcentral.